UCCUCGAUGGUCUAGUGGUCAUGAUUUCCGCUUGUCACGCGGGAGACCUGGGUUCGAUUCCCAGUCGGGGAG
This 72-nucleotide transfer RNA is filed under the name Aspergillus sojae NBRC 4239. Its description in RNAcentral is "tRNA-Asp (GTC) (tRNA-Asp-GTC-1-1, tRNA-Asp-GTC-1-2)". It matches the Rfam family "tRNA". From Rfam's summary of the family: Transfer RNA (tRNA) molecules are approximately 80 nucleotides in length. The record is from RNAcentral. RNAcentral also lists the same sequence under 1 other name. Lineage: Eukaryota; Fungi; Ascomycota; Eurotiomycetes; Eurotiales; Aspergillaceae.